This 166-nucleotide unclassified non-coding RNA is filed under the name uncultured Helotiales. RNAcentral's name for it is "sequence contains ITS1". The record is from RNAcentral. Lineage: Eukaryota; Fungi; Ascomycota; Leotiomycetes; Helotiales.
CAGAGUUCGUGCCCUUACGGGUAGAUCUCCCACCCUAUGUUAUUAUUACUCUGUUGCUUUGGCGGGACGUCGAGGUUCGCCUCCCCACCGGCUCCAGCUGGUGUGUGCCCGCCAGAGGACCCAAAACCCUGAAUAUUAGUGUCGUCUGAGUACUAUAUAAUAGUUA